UUCCAUUACAAGAAAUAAAUAUGAAUGAUCCAAAUAUUGCAUACCUGAGAAACACUAAACUUCAUCACAAAUAAAUGAUUAGUUCUACUGCUAGCACACUUGUAGAUAGUUAUCUUUUUAUAAGAAAUUUAUUGCACAAUUACUUCAUCAAAAACAAAUGAUGGCCCCUCAGUCCAAUCUGAAACCACAAAUAUAUGACAUUGUCAGUAGUGAAUUUGGAAAUGUUCACCCGAUAUGAAAUUGUCUAACACGAAACGCCAAAUUGGUGCAAACAAAGAGCCCAUUACUUUGCUUAACUAGGAACACCGUAUUUGGAGGAUAAUAAUGAUCCUACUAACGCCUCGAGAUUUGCAUUGAUUUGAGACAUUUGAAGAUGAGACAUUGGAGGGAACCAAAUCUUGUGCUUUGCGUGCAGCUGGAGACUUGGUUUCCACCAACGCUCACCUUCAGCUUCCAAAUUCUUCAGACAGGUCUCAUCUUGCUGCACUGCCACCUACACAUCUGAUCAACCGAACAUGAGAAAUUGGUGGAAACCAAGUCUCGUCUUUUCUUUCUCAACCAGAAAUUGCCCAAGUUUCAGCUCGGAGUUCCCUCCCUGGCCAAGCUAAGUACCUUACUCUAAUCCAUGUAGGAGUAUUCCGCUUGAUUUUGCAGUGGCGGCUACCGAUAGUGGCAAUGAAGAUAAGAUGUUGGAGAAAACCGAGACGGAGCUGAAGACAACAGGGCAGAGUUCAGUUUUCUACCACCCUUGCCUUCAGAGCUUAGCUAAUAGAUGUUUGGGUUGCCAAUUUGCCAUGCUCCCAGCUUUGAUGGUGCUGCCCUUU
RNAcentral lists this long non-coding RNA (824 nucleotides) under Zea mays. RNAcentral describes it as "long non-coding RNA (ZMAY_LNC002236)". The record is from RNAcentral. Lineage: Eukaryota; Viridiplantae; Streptophyta; Magnoliopsida; Poales; Poaceae.